Molecule: long non-coding RNA, 1044 nt
Organism: Bos taurus (domestic cattle)
Lineage: Eukaryota; Metazoa; Chordata; Mammalia; Artiodactyla; Bovidae
Source: Ensembl
GAAACUCUGAUAAACUUGCAGGACAUCUUAGAAAGCAAUUUGUUAAUACAUAUUGAGUCAAAAAAUAGUUAUGACUUUGACUUAACAAUUGCACUUGUGAUGUAUCUUGCGAAAUAAUUCAAAAAAAGAUUCCACAUCAGAGUUACAUAUGAUGAAAACUUGAAGAUGCUCAUUUCAGAGUUACUUAGGAUUGCAAAAGAAAAAAAAAAGGGAACAAGCCUAAUGCAAUAAAUAUUAAUGACAGUGUGCUAGCCUGUAUACGAAGCAGUAGAGAUACAGUUCAAAGAAAAAUUCCAUGCCCACAUUGGGUUUAUGCACUAGUGGGACAAACAAAUAAAAAUAUGUGUCAAGUAGUGAUCACAUCAAUGAAAAACAAAUGAAGUAAAGAAAAUGAUUGAGCUUCUAAAUGAUGGAGCCAGACAUUAAACUCAGGUCAUGUGAGUUAUGUUUUACCAACUUUUUGUUUUGUUAUGUUUUAUCAAAGUCAAUGCUAUACCAAAUUGCCUCAAAGCAGACCCAGGAAAGUCAUUCAAAUCUGCUGCUCUAAAUUCUCCCAUGAAGAACAAGGAAGGAAAUCAUAUUAGAGAAGGUAUGAAGGAGACAGAAUUUCAGGACCUCAAGGUGUCUCGAGGGCAGGUGUCUUUGUAAAGCCAUGGGAGAGAGUUGUCUGUAACCAGCUCACAGGACAAGGCUGAGGCAGUGAGGGGGUUUCCCUUCAGCCUCUUCCCUGAUCCCUGAGUAUGGUUGAGACCAAGACCAUGGCCCUGCUGCUGCUGCUGCUGCUAAGUCACUUCAGUCGUGUCUGACUCUGUGCAACCCCAGAGACGGCAGCCCACCAGGCUUCCCUGUCCCUGGCAUUCUCCAGGCAAGAACACUAGAGUGGGUUGCCAUCUCCUUCUCCAAUGCGUAAAAGUGAAAAGUGAAAGUGGAGUCACUCAGUCGUGUCCAACUCUUCAUGACCCCAUGGACUGCAGCCCACCAGGCUCCUCCGUCCAUAAGAUUUUCCAGGCAAGAGCACUGGAGUGGGGUGCCAUUGCCUUCUCC